ACAAUGGAGAGUUUGAUCCUGGCUCAGGAUGAACGCUAGCGGCAGGCCUAACACAUGCAAGUCGAGGGGCAGCACGGUGUAGCAAUACACUGG
RNAcentral lists this ribosomal RNA (93 nucleotides) under Escherichia coli. Its description in RNAcentral is "partial 16S ribosomal RNA". It matches the Rfam family "Bacterial small subunit ribosomal RNA", at positions 1 to 90 of the family's 1533-position model. Lineage: Bacteria; Pseudomonadati; Pseudomonadota; Gammaproteobacteria; Enterobacterales; Enterobacteriaceae. The record is from RNAcentral. RNAcentral also lists the same sequence under 2 other names.